GGGGACGACUUGGCUUCGACGUGGGUCGCGAAACCUGAGGUGCAUGUCGAGAAUGUAGAAAAUCUCGUAAAAUCUUCUGCAAAUUAUAGUUGCAAACGACGACAACUACGCACUCGCCGCUUAAUAACCGGUAGAAUGCUGUCGGACUGGAGCCGUGUCUAUGCGUCCAGGUUCUCUCGGGAACAAUCCGGCAUCGCUCUCAUAGAAUCGUGAUGGAUGCUCGUUCGGGGUUGAAGCACUAAACAAGCACCGAAAUCGCUGUCUGUAUUCCCCGUUCGGCGGGUAGCAGCCGGUUAAAUUAAAAGUCGAAAUAAGCAUGUAGAGCCAAUGGCAGAGGGCUUGCGGACGCGGGUUCGAUUCCCGCCGUCUCCACCA
This 375-nucleotide transfer-messenger RNA is filed under the name Aestuariibacter sp. It matches the Rfam family "transfer-messenger RNA". Rfam says of the family: Bacterial tmRNA, also known as 10Sa RNA or SsrA, is named for its dual tRNA and mRNA-like properties. Its role is to liberate the mRNA from a stalled ribosome. Lineage: Bacteria; Pseudomonadati; Pseudomonadota; Gammaproteobacteria; Alteromonadales; Alteromonadaceae. The record is from RNAcentral.